CCUACGGUGGGCAGCAGUGGGGGAUAUUGGACAAUGGGGGAAACCCUGAUCCAGCGACGCCGCGUGAGUGAAGAAGUAUUUCGGUAUGUAAAGCUCUGUCAGCAGGGAAGAAAGAAAUGACGGUACCUGACCAAGAAGCCCCGGCUAACUACGUGGCAGCAGCCGCGGUAAUACGUAGGGGGCAAGCGUUAUCCGGAAUUACUGGGUGUAAAGGGAGCGUAGACGGUGUUGCAAGUAUGGAGUGAAAGGCGGUGGCCCAACCCCCGGACUGCUCUGGAAACUGUGUAACUUGAGUGCAGGAGAGGUAAGCGGAAUUCCUAGUGUAGCGGUGAAAUGCGUAGAUAUUAGGAGGAACACCAGUGGCGAAGGCGGCUUACUGGACUGUAACUGACGUUGAGGCUCGAAAGCGUGGGGAGCAAACAGGAUUAGAUACCCGAGUAGUC
Molecule: ribosomal RNA, 443 nt
Filed under: uncultured bacterium
Lineage: Bacteria
Description: partial 16S ribosomal RNA
Rfam family: Bacterial small subunit ribosomal RNA
Source: RNAcentral